RNAcentral lists this ribosomal RNA (460 nucleotides) under uncultured bacterium. RNAcentral describes it as "partial 16S ribosomal RNA". It matches the Rfam family "Bacterial small subunit ribosomal RNA", at positions 338 to 795 of the family's 1533-position model. The record is from RNAcentral.
CCUACGGGAGGCAGCAGUGAGGAAUAUUGGUCAAUGGACGAGAGUCUGAACCAGCCAAGUCGCGUGAAGGAUGACUGCCCUAUGGGUUGUAAACUUCUUUUAUAUGGGAAUAAAAUGUUCCACGUGUGGGAUUUUGUCUGUACCAUUUGAAUAAGGAUCGGCGAACUCCGUGCCAGCAGCCGCGGUAAUACGGAGGAUCCGAGCGUUAUCCGGAUUUAUUGGGGUGCAAGGGACCGUAGGUGGAUUGUUAAGUCAGUUGUGAAAGUUUGCGGCGCAACCGUAAAAUUGCAGUUGAAACUGGCAGUCUUGAGUACAGUAGAGGUGGGCGGAAUUCGUGGUGUAGCGGUGAAAUGCUUAGAUAGCACGAAGAACUCCGAUUGCGAAGGCAGCCUACUAAACUGCCACUGACAUUGAUGCUCGAAAGUGUGGGUAUCAAACAGGAUUAGAUACCCGUGUAGUC